GCAAGUCGAACGAUGAAGCCCAGCUUGCUGGGUGGAUUAGUGGCGAACGGGUGAGUAACACGUGAGCAACCUGCCCCUGACUCUGGGAUAAGCGCUGGAAACGGCGUCUAAUACUGGAUACGAACAAGAAUCGCAUGGUUACUUGUUGGAAAGAUUUUUUGGUUGGGGAUGGGCUCGCGGCCUAUCAGCUUGUUGGUGAGGUAAUGGCUCACCAAGGCGUCGACGGGUAGCCGGCCUGAGAGGGUGACCGGCCACACUGGGACUGAGACACGGCCCAGACUCCUACGGGAGGCAGCAGUGGGGAAUAUUGCACAAUGGGCGGAAGCCUGAUGCAGCAACGCCGCGUGAGGGAUGACGGCCUUCGGGUUGUAAACCUCUUUUAGCAGGGAAGAAGCGAGAGUGACGGUACCUGCAGAAAAAGCGCCGGCUAACUACGUGCCAGCAGCCGCGGUAAUACGUAGGGCGCAAGCGUUAUCCGGAAUUAUUGGGCGUAAAGAGCUCGUAGGCGGUUUGUCGCGUCUGCUGUGAAAUCCCGAGGCUCAACCUCGGGCCUGCAGUGGGUACGGGCAGACUAGAGUGCGGUAGGGGAGAUUGGAAUUCCUGGUGUAGCGGUGGAAUGCGCAGAUAUCAGGAGGAACACCGAUGGCGAAGGCAGAUCUCUGGGCCGUAACUGACGCUGAGGAGCGAAAGGGUGGGGAGCAAACAGGCUUAGAUACCCUGGUAGUCCACCCCGUAAACGUUGGGAACUAGUUGUGGGGUCCAUUCCACGGAUUCCGUGACGCAGCUAACGCAUUAAGUUCCCCGCCUGGGGAGUACGGCCGCAAGGCUAAAACUCAAAGGAAUUGACGGGGACCCGCACAAGCGGCGGAGCAUGCGGAUUAAUUCGAUGCAACGCGAAGAACCUUACCAAGGCUUGACAUAUACGAGAACGGGCCAGAAAUGGUCAACUCUUUGGACACUCGUAAACAGGUGGUGCAUGGUUGUCGUCAGCUCGUGUCGUGAGAUGUUGGGUUAAGUCCCGCAACGAGCGCAACCCUCGUUCUAUGUUGCCAGCACGUAAUGGUGGGAACUCAUGGGAUACUGCCGGGGUCAACUCGGAGGAAGGUGGGGAUGACGUCAAAUCAUCAUGCCCCUUAUGUCUUGGGCUUCACGCAUGCUACAAUGGCCGGUACAAUGGGCAGCGAUACCGUGAGGUGGAGCGAAUCCCAAAAAGCCGGUCCCAGUUCGGAUUGAGGUCUGCAACUCGACCUCAUGAAGUCGGAGUCGCUAGUAAUCGCAGAUCAG
RNAcentral lists this ribosomal RNA (1284 nucleotides) under Microbacterium sp. LC255. RNAcentral's name for it is "bacterial SSU rRNA". It matches the Rfam family "Bacterial small subunit ribosomal RNA", at positions 57 to 1352 of the family's 1533-position model. The record is from RNAcentral. Lineage: Bacteria; Bacillati; Actinomycetota; Actinomycetes; Micrococcales; Microbacteriaceae.